Long non-coding RNA from Marmota monax (woodchuck), 2884 nucleotides. RefSeq lists it as uncharacterized. The transcript has 3 exons. Lineage: Eukaryota; Metazoa; Chordata; Mammalia; Rodentia; Sciuridae. The record is from RefSeq and is a predicted model, not a curated record.
GCCCGGCCGAGCGGACCUCCACCACCGCCGCCGCCGCCGCCUCGGCAGCUCCAGCCGCCCCCGCCGCCAUGCUGCAGCCGCCAGUCAGGAGCAGUCGAGCGCUGGCGGCUCGAUGGGGUGGGGCGGGGCCAGAGCGCCUGCGCGCGGGGAAGCCCCGCCUCUCCCAUCGAGGCCCCGCCCCACCGGAGACCCGGAAACCUGGCGCGGGGCGGGGUUGUGCCGCCAGCUUCUGAACUUUCCUCGCACUUCCUGUAACCUUAGAGACCAAGCCCGGGGCUGUGAUAGCGAGAAGUGUCUGAAGUGAGUGCGAGUGAAGGUGGGUUACAGCACUGGCAAGCCGGAAUCGAUCAGCAAGGGAAUUGCAUCAAGAGUUGUCCAGCUGGGGCUGUGUGAGUGUUGUCCCACCGUGAACGGACACGUGGAGCCCCGCAGGCGGGAGCCACAGGACUGGGUGCUCUCAGCACCCUCCCCAUCCAGCCCUGGAGUCCCCUGGCAGUGUGAGCAGCUGAUCUAACCAAAGCUGGGGCAGAUCAGAGAGGUGGGAAACAAGGAAACGCCCCUGGAAGAUGUGAACACCUUUGGACUUGCUUCAUACUGGAGGGACUCCUCAACAGAAGGGGCUUCAAACACAUCCCUACUUGGGAUUUAAAUGGCAGGGAAUGCAUUUUCUGUGAAACCAUGGCUGGCUCUGUUUCUUCUUCUAAGGCAAAACAAAAAAGAAAGGAAAAGCAAGCCACUGAAUGUCACGGGCCACACAGGCCCCACGAUCCCAGAAUCUGUCUAAACAUAUAAACCAUUUAUACGUUCACACCAGCUGCAAUGACUGAGAAAUGAAUAAGAGGAGACAAUAAUGGGGAGUCAGUCAUCUUCCUGGGAUGAGGCAGAUGGGUUGGACCCCAAAACAGGUGUCCCUUUUCUCCAUGGAGCUAAAAGACAGAGCCGUGCUCAGCCCUCUCUGGCUGAAUCUGCAGAGACAGGACAGUGACAACUCUGCCAGCCAGAGCCCAUCAGAAGUCUGGCUGUGAGCAGGUGGCAAUCCUGGGGGCUGCUGGUAGGAGGCAAAGGGCUGCCUGCAGCCUCGGGGGUCUUCAGUGGCCUGCUAACCAACCGAGCCCUCUGGGUGGGAGCCCCAUUUUCUUAACCACUAUUUUAUUCCUAUUGUCACAAACUCUUCAGCCUUCUCUGAGACUGCUGGACACCAAAGCGAGGUUGUCAUGAAUGUGGUGGAGAUCUUUAUUUUCUAGUUCCCAUACACACUAUAUCAUCACAUCAUAGUGACACUAGAGGAGACCAGACUCCCUCUUGGGGGGAGAUUCACAGAUGUAUUCCUGGCCACAGAGUUCUCUCUCCUCUUGAAUCAGGUUAUUAUAUCAUUCCUUACCCAGAGCUGAGUUCUUAUUGGCCAUAACUGUAUUUACCCUACAGAAACAUGUCCUUUUAUGACAGGUAUAAAUAUUAAAUAACAAUGCUCUGGAAUGAAUACUUGGUCACUCAGAGAGCUGGAUGAAUUCCAAAUGAAUCCCAAGUCCUAAUCUUUCCUUAAGUAAAAUGUUCCAUUUUAAAAGAUGGCCAUAAACAUCUUCAGCACUAUUUAGCAAUCCCUUUGGAAGGGGCUGAUCUCUUACUUACUGGAGGAUGUGGUAUGUGAGUUUGCCUGUCUUUGCUUUUGUUUUAUAAUUUCAAAUAGUCAGGAAAUAUUGCAUUCACUGGCAAUCAAUUUAUUUUGAUUGAUAAAAAGGGGUUAAUAAAAACUCCCUUAGAAAUAAAAAGAAGGUGAAUAGUAAUAUAUCUUUCAUGGUGCCUUCUUUCAGCUGUGCAUAAAGAGAACAAGCUUUUUACUUCUCCCCAAUAAGUCUUCUCCUCUUAUUUUCUAUACCUAGUGAGUCAUUUAUAAUCCUUAUUAUUUCCAACCCACACACUAAUGCAGCAUCAGUCAUAUUUCCACAUGCUGUGUUUUUUCCUCCUUACUAUGUUCUGAAAGCUGAAAGGGAAAAACACCCUCUAAUUUAUAUGAAAAUGCAUACCAAAAAUGGAUUACCAAACAUAACCAAUGUGACUUCAGACACUUGAAAAUAAAGAAAUUUAGGAUGAAAUAUAAAACAUCAUGCUGAAGUUUCAAUCUAUUGUUAAAACAAAGUCUAACAGAAAGUACACUGCUGUGUGGCAUUUAGCAAACAUUACCAGGCUAUUAGAAGCAGAAAUAGAUUAAAAUGAGAUACAAUUAAUGAGUUUCAUUCAAAUGUGAAGCUAUUGAUUUUAGAAGGCAUAUUUGAGAGUAUUAAUGUUUUUAUUUAUCUACAGAACCUAUGAAAAAAUGCAAAAUGAGAGAUUGUAAAAUCCUUGCCUACUAUAUGUAGCAAGUGUUUACAGUUACUUUACGGGUUGGAUGUAGACACAUACAUUAUAUGGUAUCAUAUAAAUCUCUAAUUUGCAUGAGUCACAAAGUCUUUCAAUAUUAAAUUCCUGUUUUGGGUCAUCUUUACAGAGUACACUUAAAAAUUUUAUUCCACAAAGGUAUUUACGGAAGUCGAAAAACAGUGGGUUGUUAUUUUAUUAUUAUUUUUUUCCUCAAUAAAGCAUGCUAGAUUAUUAUAAGGCUUGCAUGUAGAACAAUCUGUACUGAGUCUUGCCAUUAAAAAAAAAAAAUACAGCCUAAGCUAAAAUGACAUUGGAACAAACCCUUGACCUUCACUAACACAAGCAUGUGGCUGACCUAAGGAGAACAUCCUUCUGAUCUAAUCCUCUUGGGAUAGAAAAACCAGACUGUCCAUAGUGAGAGAACAGUGCUAAAGCCCUCACAGAAGGUGAGAGACAAGGGGCAGCAAAGCUUAGGACCCCUGGAGACAAGCCAACCAGCCAUUCUUUGGCAAUACUGACUUGCAAA